UACAGAGGUCCCAAGCGUUGUUCGGAUUCACUGGGCGUAAAGGGUGCGUAGGCGGUCGGGUAAGUCUGGCGUGAAAUCUCCAAGCCUAACUUGGAAACUGCGUUGGAUACUAUCCGGCUCGAGGAAUGGAGGGGAGACUGGAAUACUUGGUGUAGCAGUGAAAUGCGUAGAUAUCAAGUGGAACACCAGUGGCGAAGGCGAGUCUCUGGACAUUUCCUGACGCUGAGGCAUGAAAGCCAGGGGAGCAAACGGG
This 253-nucleotide ribosomal RNA is filed under the name uncultured bacterium. RNAcentral's name for it is "partial 16S ribosomal RNA". It matches the Rfam family "Bacterial small subunit ribosomal RNA", at positions 524 to 776 of the family's 1533-position model. The record is from RNAcentral.